CCUGAGUACGACGGAGCACGUGAAAUUCCGUCGGAAUCUGGGAGGACCAUCUCCUAAGGCUAAAUACUCUCUAGUGACCGAUAGUGAACCAGUACCGUGAGGGAAAGGUGAAAAGUACCCCGGAAGGGGAGUGAAAGAGAACUUGAAACCGUGUGCUUACAAGUAGUCAGAGCCCGUUAAUGGGUGAUGGCGUGCCUUUUGUAGAAUGAACCGGCGAGUUACGAUCUGAUGCAAGGUUAAGCAGAAAAUGUGGAGCCGUAGCGAAAGCGAGUCUGAAUAGGGCGAAUGAGUAUUUGGUCGUAGACCCGAAACCAGGUGAUCUACCCUUGGUCAGGUUGAAGUUCAGGUAACACUGAAUGGAGGACCGAACCGACUUACGUUGAAAAGUGAGCGGAUGAACUGAGGGUAGCGGAGAAAUUCCAAUCGAACUUGGAGAUAGCUGGUUCUCUCCGAAAUAGCUUUAGGGCUAGCCUCAAGUGAUGAUUAUUGGAGGUAGAGCACUGUUUGGACGAGGGGCCCCUCUCGGGUUACCGAAUUCAGACAAACUCCGAAUGCCAAAUAAUUUAACUUGGGAGUCAGAAUGUGGGUGAUAAGGUCCAUAUUCGAAAGGGAAACAGCCCAGACCACCAGCUAAGGUCCCAAAAUAUAUGUUAAGUGGAAAAGGAUGUGGCGUUGCCCAGACAACUAGGAUGUUGGCUUAGAAGCAGCCAUCAUUUAAAGAGUGCGUAAUAGCUCACUAGUCGAGUGACACUGCGCCGAAAAUGUACCG
Molecule: ribosomal RNA, 769 nt
Filed under: Staphylococcus pseudintermedius
Lineage: Bacteria; Bacillati; Bacillota; Bacilli; Caryophanales; Staphylococcaceae
Description: partial 23S ribosomal RNA
Rfam family: Bacterial large subunit ribosomal RNA
Source: RNAcentral